GGAGUUUGGGCCGUGUCUCAGUCCCAAUGUGGCCGUCCGACCUCUCAGUCCGGCUACAGAUCGUCGCCUUGGUAAGCCGUUACCUUACCAACUAGCUAAUCUGACGCGGGCCCAUCUCAUACCACCGGAGUUUUUCACACUAUAUCAUGCGAUACCGUGCGCUUAUGCGGUAUUAGCAGUCGUUUCCAACUGUUGUCCCCCUGUGUAAGGCAGGUUACCCACGCGUUACUCACCCGUCCGCCACUAAGUCAUCCCAAUUGAUUCUACUUUGAGCAAGCUCUCCAUUUCAUCGGGCGGGACGCUUCGUUCGACUUGCAUGUGUUAAGCACGCCGCCAGCGUUCAUC
Molecule: ribosomal RNA, 345 nt
Filed under: uncultured Lachnospiraceae bacterium
Lineage: Bacteria; Bacillati; Bacillota; Clostridia; Lachnospirales; Lachnospiraceae
Description: partial 16S ribosomal RNA
Source: RNAcentral